GUGCACGCAGUCCCUAAGGAGCCAACAGGAGACAAGACAGGGUUCACACCCACCGAAGCACCCCGCGCCCGGUAGCCAGCAGGGCCCGGCUGCCUCCUCUGGCCCCCCAGGAGAAGGGGGAGCUCGGCCCUGGAGCGUCUCCCGGGGCACCAGGGGCCCGCGUCAGGCCCACGGUUAACAGGCACCUGCUGUCUCGCGGGGGGAUGCAUCCACUCACAAAUCCCAAACUAAAUGGCUUCCCGUGGUGCCUUCCCCCUCCUCUCGCCGGAAGGGCCCAGCAGCGCAGGUGCAAGCCCUCACCCAGGGUCUGGUCCGCUCCUGAAUACCAGAGAGGGGGAGGGAGGGACGAGUGUCCAGAGAAGGGGUGGGGAAGCCAGAAGACGACGACACGGAGACUACAGUAAGCUGACAAAGUACACAGGUUAGGAUGAACGUACACAGAACAGUCGGUUCCACCUGGCUCUGGCUUCGCUCUCCUCCCAGAGCUUAGAGCCACACCCCGCCUCCCGUUCCAGCUGCUUCCUGCUGAGCCUUCAGCAAGGCCCGCCCUUCAGUGGGGCUCCAAGGAGCAAGGGCACUAAGCUCCCUCUGGUGUGGACAUCCAGCCCUUCGCCUGCCCCCGGGCUGAGGCUGACGUCCAGCACAGCACACGGGACAGGGUCACACCUCCUCUGUGCCUCUUCCUAGUGGGAUGACCCUGAUCCAUCAGGGAUGGUGAGCACUGCCUCCCUGCCUCACAAGCUGCUGGGGGGACCAGAGCCAAGGGCUCCACACGCGUGCCCACCGCAGGGGCACAUCUCUGCCUGAAGGACUGACUGUCACAGUCGUGGUCUUCCGGUAGGAGCGGAGAAGGGGCAAGCAGGACACUACUCAAGAAACAGAAAACAAGAACUGGAGAGAAUGUACAGACACUGGGAACUUCAUGCUCUGCUGGGGGAUGUAAAAUGAUGCAGCCACUACAGAAAACAGUGCGGAGGUUCUUCACAAAGUUAAACAGAAUCACCAUGUGAUGCAGAAAUCCUACUUCUGGGCAUAUACAUCCAAAAGGACUGAAAGCAGGGUCUCAAGAGAUGUCUGUGCACCCAUGUUCAUAGCAGCACUAAACACAACCAAAAGGGGAAGCAACACAAGUGUCCAUCAAUGGAUGCCAGUCACAAAAGGACAAAUGCUGUAAGAUCCACUUCUAUGAGGCAGGGACCCCCUUCCCACCAGAUGUCCCCUGCACGUAGGACACCUGUGCUGUAUCCUCCAUUGAGGUCGCCAGGCCCUGGACGCUGUCGGCAGCUGGGCCCCUGACCAGCCAGGGGGCAGAAAGCUCCCACAGUGACCCUAACCGGAGGGUCGGGGAUGCCUCGCCUCGGGGCUGAGCUGCAGGAAGUAGCUCUCAGGCAGAGGAGUUGAGCCACCUACUCCUGCCACAGCCUCUCCGCCGUGCCCCUCGCCCACAACGGCAUGUGCACACUGUGAAGCUCCAACCCCAGCCCGGCGAAGGCUGCUAAUCCCGGGCCGCCGGGCGUCUCCUCACCUGGAGUAGACAGCCUCUCCGCGGC
Long non-coding RNA from Balaenoptera musculus (blue whale), 1550 nucleotides. RefSeq lists it as uncharacterized. Lineage: Eukaryota; Metazoa; Chordata; Mammalia; Artiodactyla; Balaenopteridae. The record is from RefSeq and is a predicted model, not a curated record. The transcript has 4 exons.